GAUGAACGCUGGCGGCGUGCCUAAUACAUGCAAGUAGAACGCUGAAGGAGGAGCUUGCUUCUCUGGAUGAGUUGCGAACGGGUGAGUAACGCGUAGGUAACCUGCCUGGUAGCGGGGGAUAACUAUUGGAAACGAUAGCUAAUACCGCAUAAGAGCAGUUGUUGCAUGACAGCUGUUUAAAAGGUGCAAUUGCACCACUACCAGAUGGACCUGCGUUGUAUUAGCUAGUUGGUGAGGUAACGGCUCACCAAGGCGACGAUACAUAGCCGACCUGAGAGGGUGAUCGGCCACACUGGGACUGAGACACGGCCCAGACUCCUACGGGAGGCAGCAGUAGGGAAUCUUCGGCAAUGGGGGCAACCCUGACCGAGCAACGCCGCGUGAGUGAAGAAGGUUUUCGGAUCGUAAAGCUCUGUUGUAAGAGAAGAACGAGUGUGAGAGUGGAAAGUUCACACUGUGACAGUAUCUUACCAGAAAGGGACGGCUAACUACGUGCCAGCAGCCGCGGUAAUACGUAGGUCCCGAGCGUUAUCCGGAUUUAUUGGGCGUAAAGCGAGCGCAGGCGGUUAGAUAAGUCUGAAGUUAAAGGCUGUGGCUUAACCAUAGUACGCUUUGGAAACUGUUUAACUUGAGUGCAAGAGGGGAGAGUGGAAUUCCAUGUGUAGCGGUGAAAUGCGUAGAUAUAUGGAGGAACACCGGUGGCGAAAGCGGCUCUCUGGCUUGUAACUGACGCUGAGGCUCGAAAGCGUGGGGAGCAAACAGG
RNAcentral lists this ribosomal RNA (763 nucleotides) under uncultured Streptococcus sp. RNAcentral describes it as "bacterial SSU rRNA". It matches the Rfam family "Bacterial small subunit ribosomal RNA", at positions 28 to 776 of the family's 1533-position model. Lineage: Bacteria; Bacillati; Bacillota; Bacilli; Lactobacillales; Streptococcaceae. The record is from RNAcentral.